RNAcentral lists this ribosomal RNA (253 nucleotides) under uncultured bacterium. RNAcentral's name for it is "partial 16S ribosomal RNA". It matches the Rfam family "Bacterial small subunit ribosomal RNA", at positions 524 to 776 of the family's 1533-position model. The record is from RNAcentral.
UACGUAGGGUGCAAGCGUUGUCCGGAAUUAUUGGGCGUAAAGAGCUCGUAGGCGGUUUGUUGCGUCGGCUGUGAAAUCCCGAGGCUCAACCUCGGGUCUGCAGUCGAUACGAGCAAACUAGAGUGUUGCAGGGGAGACUGGAAUUCCUGGUGUAGCGGUGAAAUGCGCAGAUAUCAGGAGGAACACCGGUGGCGAAAGCGGCGUGCUGGACCUCUUCUGACGCUGAGGCGCGAAAGCGUGGGGAGCGAACAGG